RNAcentral lists this non-coding RNA (101 nucleotides) under Anaerobacillus isosaccharinicus. RNAcentral describes it as "Anaerobacillus sp. NB2006 TPP riboswitch aptamer (THI element)". It matches the Rfam family "TPP riboswitch aptamer (THI element)". From Rfam's summary of the family: Vitamin B(1) in its active form thiamin pyrophosphate (TPP) is an essential coenzyme that is synthesised by coupling of pyrimidine and thiazole moieties in bacteria. The previously detected thiamin-regulatory element, thi box was extended, resulting in a new, highly conserved RNA secondary structure, the THI element, which is widely distributed in eubacteria and also occurs in some archaea. Analysis of operon structures identified a large number of new candidate thiamin-regulated genes, mostly transporters, in various prokaryotic organisms. RNAcentral also lists the same sequence under 1 other name. Lineage: Bacteria; Bacillati; Bacillota; Bacilli; Caryophanales; Bacillaceae. The record is from Rfam by way of RNAcentral.
UUAUCACUCUAGGGGCGCUGUAAAGCUGAGAGAGACGAAUGUCUUAACCCUUAUAACCUGAUCUAGAUCAUACUAGCGUAGGGAAGAAGUGCGGAUAUAUA